UGCCAGCCGCCGCGGUAAUACGGAGGUGGCAAACGUUGCUCGGAAUCACUGGGCUUAAAGGGCGUGUAGGCGGCCCACUAAGUCGGAUGUGAAAUCCCUCGGCCCAACCGAGGAACUGCAUUCGAAACUGGUGAGCUAGAGUGCGGGAGGGGCAAGUGGAACUCCAGGCGUAGCGGUGAAAUGCGUAGAUAUCUGGAGGAACGCCGGUGGCGAAAGCGACUUGCUGGACCGCAACUGACGCUGAGGCGCGAAAGCUAGGGGAGCGAACAGGAUUAGAUA
Molecule: ribosomal RNA, 279 nt
Filed under: uncultured bacterium
Lineage: Bacteria
Description: partial 16S ribosomal RNA
Rfam family: Bacterial small subunit ribosomal RNA
Source: RNAcentral